GAGGAACACAAGCUGAAGUGUUUGGAAACAGCACUUUGGCUGGACCAUGAGCCGAAGCCCGAAAGCAAGAAAUUUCCCUUCACUGUCAAAAUAGGCAUGACAAUGGAGGGAGGCAUAGUUCGGGGUAGAGGCUCUGCUUUGCAUACAGAAGGUCCAAACUUCAGUCUCUGGCAGCAUCUCCAGGUAGGACUGGGAAAGAUUUUGGAGAGUUGCUGCCAGUUGGUGUAAACAAUACUGGACUAAAGGAAUCAACAGCAUCAACUCUGAAGAUUGACAGAGAAUGGGGCGAACUCGUUGCCUGAUGGACAAGCCAAUUCAAUGAGGGUGUGUACUCAAAUUAGCUUUUAUUCAUGAUCAUGAAGGCAGAGUACAAGUCAGAAGUCUGACAAGCAUUGCGCACCCAACGUAUGCAGUUGCCAGUUUAUAUAGAUUAAAAGCAAGUAAGUAAAUCCAUCGACAUCCGUCAUUUGUGGUUAAACAUAUGUUUUCCUGUGGUGCCAAUUAGAGCCUUGGAUGUGAGUUACUGUUUGGCCUUUCUGCUGACCCUACUUCUUAUCAGCAUCUCCUGGUGCCAGCUAUUUUUCUUUCGGCUGAGUGGGGGAUUUGUCCCAUGACCCUGAUUAUUGUCUCCUGCCAGCUCUUGUAUUUUUACCUCUUGGCCAAUGGGCCUCACAUCCUUGACUCAAACAAUUUCAUUCUGGCCUACUGGCUUUACAUUCUGUUUAGGAGCCUGAACCAAACUUUUACACACUUAUUUGUGA
Molecule: long non-coding RNA, 761 nt
Organism: Hemicordylus capensis (graceful crag lizard)
Lineage: Eukaryota; Metazoa; Chordata; Lepidosauria; Squamata; Cordylidae
Exons: 3
Source: RefSeq, a predicted model, not a curated record